GACGAACGCUGGCGGCGUGCUUAACACAUGCAAGUCGAACGGAAAGGCCCUGCUUGCAGGGUACUCGAGUGGCGAACGGGUGAGUAACACGUGGGUGAUCUGCCCUGCACUUCGGGAUAAGCCUGGGAAACUGGGUCUAAUACCGGAUAGGAGCCAUUUUUAGUGUGAGGGUUGGAAAGUUUUUUCGGUGUUGGGUGAGCUCGCGGCCUAUCAGCGUGUUGGGGGGGUAAUGGCCUACCAAGGCGGCGACGGGGAGCCGGACUGGGGGGGUGGACGGCCACAUUGGGUCUGAGAGACGGCCCAGGCUCCUACGGGAGGCCGAAGUGGGGAAUAUUGCACCAUGGGCGCCAGCCUGAUGCAGCGACGCCGCGUGGGGGAUGACGGCCUUCGGGUUGUAAACUCCUUUCGCUAGGGACGAAGCUUUUUGUGACGGUACCUAGAUAAGAAGCACCGGCUAACUACGUG
This 465-nucleotide ribosomal RNA is filed under the name uncultured bacterium. RNAcentral describes it as "partial 16S ribosomal RNA". It matches the Rfam family "Bacterial small subunit ribosomal RNA", at positions 28 to 507 of the family's 1533-position model. The record is from RNAcentral.